GUGGAAAAUGUGGUCAGUUUGGGCACAUGCGGACGAACAAGAAUUGCCCCAAGUAUGGAGAGGAUCUUGAAACACCGGAGACAACAGAUCAAGAAAAAGUAUCAAUAAAGUUGAAUACCAUGGAUCCAUCAAAUCAAUCCCAUCAGAAAGCUCAAACUAAGAAGGUUACACCUAAAGCCACAGCAAAAAGUUCUACAACAGAAGCAUUUGAGGGUGAAAAAUCUACGUUGACGG
RNAcentral lists this unclassified non-coding RNA (234 nucleotides) under Hevea brasiliensis (rubber tree). The record is from RNAcentral. Lineage: Eukaryota; Viridiplantae; Streptophyta; Magnoliopsida; Malpighiales; Euphorbiaceae.